UCCCUACGGGGCGCAGCAGUGGGGAAUAUUGGGCAAUGGGCGCAAGCCUGACCCAGCAACGCCGCGUGAAGGAAGAAGGCUUUCGGGUUGUAAACUUCUUUUGUCAGGGAAGAGUAGAAGACGGUACCUGACGAAUAAGCCACGGCUAACUACGUGCCAGCAGCCGCGGUAAUACGUAGGUGGCAAGCGUUGUCCGGAUUUACUGGGUGUAAAGGGCGUGUAGCCGGGUUGACAAGUCAGAUGUGAAAUCCUGCGGCUUAACCGCAGAACUGCAUUUGAAACUGUUAUUCUAGAGUAUGGGAGAG
Molecule: ribosomal RNA, 305 nt
Filed under: uncultured bacterium
Lineage: Bacteria
Description: bacterial SSU rRNA
Rfam family: Bacterial small subunit ribosomal RNA
Source: RNAcentral